AGGAUCAAUGAUGACCAGGUGGCAUAUGACUUGUGUACCAUGACUGCAGGUCUGGGGAGUCUGAGGUCCAC
Molecule: small nucleolar RNA, 71 nt
Organism: Alexandromys fortis (reed vole)
Lineage: Eukaryota; Metazoa; Chordata; Mammalia; Rodentia; Cricetidae
Product: small nucleolar RNA SNORD113/SNORD114 family
Exons: 1
Source: RefSeq, a predicted model, not a curated record